RNAcentral lists this small RNA (28 nucleotides) under Bombyx mori (domestic silkworm). RNAcentral's name for it is "ovarian small RNA-18205". Lineage: Eukaryota; Metazoa; Arthropoda; Insecta; Lepidoptera; Bombycidae. The record is from RNAcentral.
UAAACUAACCAUACAUACGUCUACUGGA